RNAcentral lists this non-coding RNA (177 nucleotides) under Anaerolineales bacterium. RNAcentral describes it as "6S RNA". It matches the Rfam family "6S / SsrS RNA". Rfam says of the family: E. coli 6S RNA was the first non coding RNA to be sequenced, but its function was unknown until recently. It consists of 184 nucleotides that fold into an extended hairpin structure with a large single-stranded internal bulge. The record is from RNAcentral. Lineage: Bacteria; Bacillati; Chloroflexota; Anaerolineae; Anaerolineales.
CAAACCCUACUGUGUUUGUGAUGUAACUGUAACGGUUUUGGGCCAACACUCUUCUUCAUGGGUUCUAACUUGCAGAUUUGAUGCGUUAGGCGAAAGCCAAGGCUGACCUUCUGAGGCGGAGCCCAACCUGCGAAAGCAGGUUCAAAACUUUGUUACACACGGCACGGUGGGGUGUCA